RNAcentral lists this ribosomal RNA (448 nucleotides) under uncultured bacterium. RNAcentral's name for it is "partial 16S ribosomal RNA". It matches the Rfam family "Bacterial small subunit ribosomal RNA", at positions 29 to 523 of the family's 1533-position model. The record is from RNAcentral.
AGCGAACGCUGGCGGCAGGCCUAAUACAUGCAAGUCGAACGGCUCUUCGGAGCAGUGGCGGACGGGUGAGUAACGCGUGGGAACGUGCCCUUUGGUUCGGAACAACACAGGGAAACUUGUGCUAAUACCGAAUGUGCCCUUCGGGGGAAAGAUUUAUCGCCAUUGGAGCGGCCCGCGUUGGGUUAGCUAGUUGGUGGGGUAAUGGCCCACCAAGGCUACGAUCCAUAGCUGGUCUGAGAGGAUGAUCAGCCACACUGGGACUGAGAACACGGCCCAGACUCCUACGGGAGGCAGCAGUAGGGAAUCUUGCGCAAUGGGCGAAAGCCUGACGCAGCCAUGCCGCGUGAAUGAUGAAGGUCUUAGGAUUGUAAAAUUCUUUCACCGGGGAAGAUAAUGACGGUACCCGGAGAAGAAGCCCCGGCUAACUUCGUGCCAGCCGCCGCCGUAA